UACGGAGGGUGCAAGCGUUAAUCGGAAUUACUGGGCGUAAAGGGUGCGUAGGUGGUUUGUUAAGUCUGCUGUGAAAUCCCCGGGCUCAACCUGGGAAUGGCAGUGGAUACUGGCAAGCUAGAGUGCGGUAGAGGGUAGUGGAAUUCCCGGUGUAGCAGUGAAAUGCGUAGAGAUCGGGAGGAACACCAGUGGCGAAGGCGGCUACCUGGACCAGCACUGACACUGAAGCACGAAAGCGUGGGGAGCAAACAGG
Molecule: ribosomal RNA, 253 nt
Filed under: uncultured bacterium
Lineage: Bacteria
Description: partial 16S ribosomal RNA
Rfam family: Bacterial small subunit ribosomal RNA
Source: RNAcentral